This 422-nucleotide unclassified non-coding RNA is filed under the name Hevea brasiliensis (rubber tree). Lineage: Eukaryota; Viridiplantae; Streptophyta; Magnoliopsida; Malpighiales; Euphorbiaceae. The record is from RNAcentral.
GACUCUUAUAUACGGUAAUCAUUAUUUCUUUUCUUUGUAAUUCACUUGUGAGGUUAUAUAUCUGUGUCUGGUUCUAUAAUGAUUAGAUCUCCAGGUUUUGUGGGUGGAAGUUGCUUUUUUCUUUCUUGGUGUGAACAAUUGUUGUUUUGGUUAUUUGCCUAUAGAUGAUAUUAUGAUAAUGAAUAAGUAGAACAGAGAGAGGUUUUUGCUGAGUGACAAUUCUGCGUCUCAUCCAAAUUUUUUUUUUUCAAUUAAUUCAAUAAACGUACUCUUUUUUGGAUUAAAUUUGAUAAUUAAAGUUGACAAUUCAUUUGAUAUCAAGUAAUUCAUUUUAAAGAUUGAUUUGGGUUAAAUAUAUACAUUGGGUUAAAUGCCUGUGGAUGGAUUUCCCUUUAUAUGUAUAUUUAUCAUCUUUAUUCCUU